GGGCCCGCACAAGCAGCGGAGCGUGUGGUUUAAUUCGAUGUUACACGAAGAACCUUACCAGGGUUUGACAUGCAAGUGGUAGGAAGCCGAAAGGUGACCGACCCUUCGGGGAGCUUGCACAGGUGCUGCAUGGCUGUCGUCAGCUCGUGUCGUGAGAUGUUCGGUUAAGUCCGCUAACGAGCGCAACCCUCGCUGUGUGUUAUAUGUGUCACACGGGACUGCCGGUCUUAAGCCGGAGGAAGGUGGGGAUGAUGUCAAGUCAGCAUGGCCUUUAUAUCCUGGGCUACACACACGCUACAAUGGCCAACACAAUAGGUUGCUAAGCCGCGAGGUGGCGCCAAUCCAUAAAGUUGGUCUCAGUUCAGAUUGUAGGCUGCAACCCGCCUGCAUGAAGAUGGAGUUGCUAGUAAUCGCGGAUCAGCACGCCGCGGUGAAUACGUUCCCGGGCCUU
RNAcentral lists this ribosomal RNA (451 nucleotides) under uncultured Leptolinea sp. RNAcentral's name for it is "bacterial SSU rRNA". It matches the Rfam family "Bacterial small subunit ribosomal RNA", at positions 917 to 1382 of the family's 1533-position model. The record is from RNAcentral. Lineage: Bacteria; Bacillati; Chloroflexota; Anaerolineae; Anaerolineales; Anaerolineaceae.